CGGCAUCGGGCCCCGCCCCCAGCCUCUGGUUGAGCGAAUCAGGAGCGGGCUCCCUUAGGUUCCACCCAGAAGAUCCCUCCCAAACUAGACUCCCCAGGGCCAGUCCCUGGUCAAUUUCAGGGAUCAGUUUCCUCCCUAACCUACAGCUCAACAAGGCACGGGGAAGGGGGAGGGGGUGUCACCCUCAAUUAGACUUUCUCCCACUGAACACCAACCUUUACGGUGCCCCAAUCCCAACGCGGAUCUGAUCCAUCUCUGAACACCCCCAUACCCGGUAGACCGGGGUCCCUGCUGCGGCUUGGAUCAGGAUCCCAUUGCACCCCGCCCAGUGCCCUCAGAGGAACCUCACCCAGGAUACUCCUCCCGACCCUUCGAGGAUGAGAUUGAUCCCUCAGAGACCCCCAGAUCCCCCAGAGAGUCCUUGGAGGGACACUCCUCAGAACCUUGAGCCCACUCUCAACCAGGCCCAGAACUGCCAGCGCCGCGCAUGCUCGGGAGGCGACGCUGACGGACGCGCACGGUGACUGGAGACAGAGCGCCCCCACCCGCCCGGAGAACCGAGAAAGCGCGAAGUCCUCCAUCUGGUGGCCAAGCGGAGGAAUUGCACCCUCCACCUACUGGGACAUCCUCCAGGGGAGAGAAAGGUUCAAGAGCUGCCAAAUCAAAAACACAGGUGUGCUCGUGUCACCUCAAGAAUCUUCAGUGGCUCCCUCCUUCCACAAGGAAAAAGUGCAAGCUUGUUCGAGUGGCUUGGAAAACCCUUCCCAGUCUGGUCCCCGGCAUUCCAACAACAUGAUUCUGAGAAGGGGUUC
Molecule: long non-coding RNA, 812 nt
Organism: Vombatus ursinus (common wombat)
Lineage: Eukaryota; Metazoa; Chordata; Mammalia; Diprotodontia; Vombatidae
Exons: 4
Source: RefSeq, a predicted model, not a curated record